Long non-coding RNA from Stegastes partitus (bicolor damselfish), 195 nucleotides. RefSeq lists it as uncharacterized. The record is from RefSeq and is a predicted model, not a curated record. Lineage: Eukaryota; Metazoa; Chordata; Actinopteri; Pomacentridae. The transcript is spliced from 3 exons.
GUUUCCUCCUCCAGCCCUUCGCACCGACACCAGAUACUAUGCGCAUCGCUUCAGGCGCACACCGGCACUAGAACAACAAGGGCAGCUGAACCGCUCCGCGACCUCAUGAGUGUGGUUUGGCCUGCCGCUGAGUAGGAGCUCUAUGUGGAUCAAGAGUUGAAGAAGGAGCACCUGAGACCAGUGGUGAGUUCAUCG